Molecule: unclassified non-coding RNA, 520 nt
Filed under: uncultured Glomus
Lineage: Eukaryota; Fungi; Glomeromycota; Glomeromycetes; Glomerales; Glomeraceae
Description: SSU rRNA
Rfam family: Eukaryotic small subunit ribosomal RNA
Source: RNAcentral
CGCAGCCGCGGUAAUUCCAGCUCCAAUAGCGUAUAUUAAAGUUGUUGCAGUUAAAAAGCUCGUAGUUGAAUUUCGGGAUCAAUUAGUCGGUCGUGCCUCUGGUACGUACUGGUUUUAUUGGUUCCUCCCUUCUGACGAAACAUGAUGUCAUUAAUUUGGUGUCGUGGAGAAUCAGGACUGUUACCUUGAAAAAUUAGAGUGUUUAUAGCAGGCUAACGCUUGAAUACAUUAGCAUGGAAUAAUGAAAUAGGACGUUCGACCCUAUUUGUUGGUUUCUAGGAUCGACGUAAUGAUUAAUAGGGAUAGUUGGGGGCAUUAGUAUUCAAUUGUCAGAGGUGAAAUUCUUGGAUUUAUUGAAGACUAACUACUGCGAAAGCAUUUGCCAAGGAUGUUUUCAUUAAUCAAGAACGAAAGUUAGGGGAUCGAAGACGAUCAGAUACCGUCGUAGUCUUAACCAUAAACUAUGCCGACUAGGGAUCGGAUGAUUUAAGUUUUAAUUAGACUCAUUACGUCGCCUACG